GAUGAACGCUGGCGGCGUGCCUAAUACAUGCAAGUCGAGCGAACAGACGAGGAGCUUGCUCCUCUGACGUUAGUGGCGGACGGGUGAGUAACACGUGGAUAACCUACCUAUAAGACUGGGAUAACUUCGGGAAACCGGAGCUAAUACCGGAUAAUAUAUUGAACCGCAUGGUUCAAUAGUGAAAGACGGUUUUGCUGUCACUUAUAGAUGGAUCCGCGCCGCAUUAGCUAGUUGGUAAGGUAACGGCUUACCAAGGCAACGAUGCGUAGCCGACCUGAGAGGGUGAUCGGCCACACUGGAACUGAGACACGGUCCAGACUCCUACGGGAGGCAGCAGUAGGGAAUCUUCCGCAAUGGGCAAAAGCCUGACGGAGCAACGCCGCGUGAGUGAUGAAGGUCUUCGGAUCGUAAAACUCUGUUAUUAGGGAAGAACAAAUGUGUAAGUAACUAUGCACGUCUUGACGGUACCUAAUCAGAAAGCCACGGCUAACUACGUG
RNAcentral lists this ribosomal RNA (497 nucleotides) under uncultured bacterium. RNAcentral describes it as "partial 16S ribosomal RNA". It matches the Rfam family "Bacterial small subunit ribosomal RNA", at positions 28 to 507 of the family's 1533-position model. The record is from RNAcentral.